ACCAGGGGACCGCACUACCCAGACAACAUCACGGGAACACCCGCACUGGGGAGAGGGCUUCCAAGCACGCAGACCACAGGUGUCGGCGCCCCUCGAGCGGCCCGAGCCCCCCGCAGCCACUGCCAGUUGCGAGCCGUUGAGGCAGGCGUUGACAGUGAAGAAGAAGGAACAGAGCUGCAGCCACGGGGCCAUAGCCGUACGCUAGCCCAGCGGGGCCCUUCUCCGCUCGGCUGCCGCCUGAAGCUCGCUCCUAGUCCCUGGUGGGCGGUGGCAGCCGCGGCAGCAGGGGGCCGUCCACACCGAGCAUGCGCAGCCGGGCUUCGCCCCGCCUCUCUCCUCCAGGUCCCGCCCUCGAUCUCAGUUCUCCCACCCGGUCCUGCCCCUCUACCCCGCCCCUCCUGUCUUGACCCCGCCCCGCAGCCGCUGAGACUCGGGCUUCAACAAGUUUCAACCCCCUCGCCGAGGGAACUUUUUUUUUAAUCCAAAGGAUUUGUCCAAAUGAUGACUGCUCCAUACAAAAACUUGGAGCGACUCAAAGAAUAUAAUAACAGUAAUUUUAAAAUUAA
Non-coding RNA from Peromyscus maniculatus bairdii (prairie deer mouse), 566 nucleotides. NCBI's taxonomy places the organism in Eukaryota, Metazoa, Chordata, Mammalia, Rodentia, Cricetidae. The record is from RefSeq and is a predicted model, not a curated record.